GCCUACUUAAAAAUAAGACGACAAAUGACAAUAAGAACAUCGAUCAAGUGGGUUAUGCAGCAAAUAAGAAGUAAUUUUACAAAUAAUAAUAUUAUAUAUAAGUUAAACAAACUUUCACAACUAUAUCAUCAAUGUGCACAUGGCAAAUGGGAAAACGUCUCCCAACUAUCCCACAUCGAGAAAAUGUUCUCAUCACCUGAAAAUUAUGACAAGCCAUGCUGUGUCAAAAGAAUUAAUGUUUAAAAGUUAAAAGGUAAAUUCUAGGAAUAUAAAAGGACUGCAACUUGUAGUUAUUUUCCUACAUCGAAGCAAAAGCCCAAUAAUGUUAAUGGUUUCUAAAGCCUUUCUAAUUUCUCCUUACAAGUUUGAAUCUCCACAGUGGCUUAAAAGUGCUAUUGUUUCCUAGCACGUUGUACCGAUCAUGAAAACUGUGCAAGAGUUGAGUGAUAAUUUGCACAUCCCUCACCUUGAGGAGAAAAUCAAGAACAGCUAACUUAUUUUCAGGGACGGAUUCAGGAUUGGAUCCAAGACCGGGAUACAAAAUUUCAAACCGGGCUACUAAGCAAAAAAAAUUUUUUUACACAUAAAAAACUGAUUUUUUACCAAAUAAAAAUAAAAAAUACUUAAAAAAAAAGUUUUUGGGCCUGAGUGUGGAGGAGGGGGGGCUGCAGCCCAGUCCAACCCAG
RNAcentral lists this long non-coding RNA (686 nucleotides) under Olea europaea subsp. europaea. Lineage: Eukaryota; Viridiplantae; Streptophyta; Magnoliopsida; Lamiales; Oleaceae. The record is from RNAcentral.